AGCUCUUUAGACCAAAUUAUAGCAAAAACAAUUGUUGUGUUGUAUUGGAUAAGUCUGUAGAACUCUGAGACGUGAUGACUAAUCGGUUUAAGAGCAGUAAAUACAUUUUUAAAGUUCAUUGCCUUAAAAGGCUUGAUGGGUCUGGCGAGGAACAAAUUAAUGAAAUGGGUUAACUUAACUGGAAAUAUUGAAAUCGUAUAAAUACAGCAAUCAUAGAUUGGGGAUAGAGGGGAUAUAGAGGACUGCUGAACUACCUCUGCCAAACGUAAAUAGGUGCUAGAGGCAGGGGUGAACUUGGGGAGUUCUUUCAG
This is a non-coding RNA of Pelobates cultripes (western spadefoot toad), 311 nucleotides long. The record is from the annotation of a GenBank genome assembly. Lineage: Eukaryota; Metazoa; Chordata; Amphibia; Anura; Pelobatidae.